RNAcentral lists this long non-coding RNA (899 nucleotides) under Mytilus galloprovincialis (Mediterranean mussel). The record is from RNAcentral. Lineage: Eukaryota; Metazoa; Mollusca; Bivalvia; Mytilida; Mytilidae.
UUUUUUUCAGACGUUUUUCCUGUAUACAUGUGUACUCCCCCUACAAUCCGACAAUGGCUAGAUUUUUGUUUAAUUUUAAAAUACCCAUCAAUAUAUAAGUUUCUAACUGAAUUUUGUUGUUUUCUCGUAACUACCAUCAUUAGAUACAGUAAUAUGUGAUGUUAAAGUUUCACAUCCAAUUGAAAUAUGAAAUCUCAAAAUGGACCCAUUACAAAGACCCUUUUGUAUAUGGAACGUCGAAAUAUAGGCUCUGAAGUGAUACCCACCUUUCCCGGAACUUGAGCCUCCACAUUGGAUUUUUUUAUUACUUGUCUUAACGCGUUGCAGGGGACAGAAAUGCCGGGCGUCAGUCAUGUGUUGCCAUAUUUUUGUGAAAUUUAUAUCAUCAGCAAUGUCUUUGAAACUCGCGAAAAUAAGUCCUGAUCAAAUAAUUUAACCAACUAUGCCCCCUUUGAAAUAUAAAUCAUAAUUGAUAUACCAUUGCAUUUGGCCAGAAGCUUUUAUUUCUCUUUAGUUAAUAAAUAAAAAAAAGAAAGAAAAUGCUCUUUUUUAGUAACUGACCUUGUAUAUUAGAAUAGAUAAAAUUUAAUAUGUGCACUACGGGGAAUUUUGAACUCUUUUUUUUUUUUGAAAAUAAAUUAAUAUUCUACCAAGUUUGAAACGGGUAUUUAUUAGCCCAGAUAUGAUCACACUCCAUAAUAAAUACUAGUCGUAUUUAAUGUCACAGGAAACGAUAUCAGACAAUGAUGUGUUCGUUGUUAACUUGUAAAGUUGCUAUGUAAUCGCUCCGCUUGGUUCAAUCUCAGACCAAACAUGUCUGCAGGUCUACGUUUUAUCAUCCUCUGUCAAAAUGAUGUGGAUGCUUGAGCAUCUGAGCAUACAUGCAAGCUACGCCACUG